GGCUUAAUAGCUCAGUUGGCAAAACAUGAGACACCUAAUCUCAGGCUCAUGGGUUCAAGCCCCAUGUUGGGUGA
Molecule: non-coding RNA, 74 nt
Organism: Podarcis lilfordi (Lilford's wall lizard)
Lineage: Eukaryota; Metazoa; Chordata; Lepidosauria; Squamata; Lacertidae
Source: the annotation of a GenBank genome assembly